RNAcentral lists this ribosomal RNA (499 nucleotides) under uncultured bacterium. RNAcentral describes it as "partial 16S ribosomal RNA". It matches the Rfam family "Bacterial small subunit ribosomal RNA", at positions 30 to 523 of the family's 1533-position model. The record is from RNAcentral.
AUUGAACGCUGGCGGCAGGCCUAACACAUGCAAGUCGAGCGGUUGACGGGAGCUUGCUCCCUGAUUCAGCGGCGGACGGGUGAGUAAUGCCUAGGAAUCUGCCUAUUAGUGGGGGACAACGUUUCGAAAGGAACGCUAAUACCGCAUACGUCCUACGGGAGAAAGCAGGGGACCUUAGGGCCUGCGCUAAUAGCUGAGCCUAGGUCGGAUUAGCUUGUUGGUGAGGUAAUGGCUCACCAAGGCGACGAUCCGUAACUGGUCUGAGAGGAUGAUCAGUCACACUGGAACUGAGACACGGUCCAGACUCCUACGGGAGGCAGCAGUGGGGAAUAUUGGACAAUGGGCGAAAGCCUGAUCCAGCCAUGCCGCGUGUGUGAAGAAGGUCUUCGGAUUGUAAAGCACUUUAAGUUGGGAGGAAGGGUUGUAGAUUAAUACUCUGCAAUUUUGACGUUACCGACAGAAUAAGCACCGGCUAACUCUGUGCCAGCCGCCGCCGUAA